GCUUUCGUAGCUCAACUGGUAGAGCAGUCGGCUUUUAACCGAAAGGUUGUGGGUUCAAGUCCCACCGAAAGCA
Molecule: transfer RNA, 73 nt
Filed under: Rickettsiaceae bacterium
Lineage: Bacteria; Pseudomonadati; Pseudomonadota; Alphaproteobacteria; Rickettsiales; Rickettsiaceae
Description: tRNA-Lys
Rfam family: tRNA
About the family: Transfer RNA (tRNA) molecules are approximately 80 nucleotides in length.
Source: RNAcentral